Molecule: ribosomal RNA, 245 nt
Filed under: uncultured Oscillospiraceae bacterium
Lineage: Bacteria; Bacillati; Bacillota; Clostridia; Eubacteriales; Oscillospiraceae
Description: partial 16S ribosomal RNA
Rfam family: Bacterial small subunit ribosomal RNA
Source: RNAcentral
UACGUAGGGCGCAAGCGUUGUCCGGAAUUACUGGGUGUAAAGGGCGUGUAGGCGGGGCUGUAAGUCAGAUGUGAAAUACCGGGGCUUAACUCCGGGGCUGCAUCUGAAACUAUGGCUCUUGAGUGCUGGAGAGGAAAGCGGAAUUCCUAGUGUAGCGGUGAAAUGCGUAGAUAUUAGGAGGAACACCAGUGGCGAAGGCGGCUUUCUGGACAGUAACUGACGCUGAGGCGCGAAAGCGUGGGGAG